GAUGAACGCUGGCGGCGUGCCUAAUACAUGCAAGUCGAGCGAACGGACGAGAAGCUUGCUUCUCUGAUGUUAGCGGCGGACGGGUGAGUAACACGUGGAUAACCUACCUAUAAGACUGGGAUAACUUCGGGAAACCGGAGCUAAUACCGGAUAAUAUUUUGAACCGCAUGGUUCAAAAGUGAAAGACGGUCUUGCUGUCACUUAUAGAUGGAUCCGCGCUGCAUUAGCUAGUUGGUAAGGUAACGGCUUACCAAGGCAACGAUCCAUAGCCGACCUGAGAGGGUGAUCGGCCACACUGGAACUGAGACACGGUCCAGACUCCUACGGGAGGCAGCAGUAGGGAAUCUUCCGCAAUGGGCGAAAGCCUGACGGAGCAACGCCGCGUGAGUGAUGAAGGUCUUCGGAUCGUAAAACUCUGUUAUUAGGGAAGAACAUAUGUGUAAGUAACUGUGCACAUCUUGACGGUACCUAAUCAGAAAGCCACGGCUAACUACGUG
Molecule: ribosomal RNA, 497 nt
Filed under: uncultured bacterium
Lineage: Bacteria
Description: partial 16S ribosomal RNA
Rfam family: Bacterial small subunit ribosomal RNA
Source: RNAcentral